UUUGAUCCUUUUUUUUUCUCAACGGCUUGAGUGGGUUCCCACGUGGCUGUUAGAUGAGAUGUGAACCGUGAAAUGCAGUUCAAUCUACCUAAGAAACCACGAACCUCUUUUUCUGUUCUCGGUUCUGGCACUUUCUUGUAUGGCUUUUUUCUUUCUUCUUUUUUUCUUUUUUUUCUUUUCUCCUUUUUUUUUAGCAGGAUCAAC
RNAcentral lists this long non-coding RNA (204 nucleotides) under Lathyrus oleraceus (garden pea). RNAcentral's name for it is "Pisum sativum (pea) long non-coding RNA (PSAT_LNC042151)". Lineage: Eukaryota; Viridiplantae; Streptophyta; Magnoliopsida; Fabales; Fabaceae. The record is from RNAcentral.